Molecule: ribosomal RNA, 506 nt
Filed under: Fusarium sp. CT546
Lineage: Eukaryota; Fungi; Ascomycota; Sordariomycetes; Hypocreales; Nectriaceae
Description: eukaryotic LSU rRNA
Rfam family: 5.8S ribosomal RNA (bases 137-290)
Source: RNAcentral
ACUCCAAACCCCUGUGAACAUACCAAUUGUUGCCUCGGCGGAUCAGCCCGCUCCCGGUAAAACGGGACGGCCCGCCAGAGGACCCCUAAACUCUGUUUCUAUAUGUAACUUCUGAGUAAAACCAUAAAUAAAUCAAAACUUUCAACAACGGAUCUCUUGGUUCUGGCAUCGAUGAAGAACGCAGCAAAAUGCGAUAAGUAAUGUGAAUUGCAGAAUUCAGUGAAUCAUCGAAUCUUUGAACGCACAUUGCGCCCGCCAGUAUUCUGGCGGGCAUGCCUGUUCGAGCGUCAUUUCAACCCUCAAGCCCCCGGGUUUGGUGUUGGGGAUCGGCGAGCCCUUGCGGCAAGCCGGCCCCGAAAUCUAGUGGCGGUCUCGCUGCAGCUUCCAUUGCGUAGUAGUAAAACCCUCGCAACUGGUACGCGGCGCGGCCAAGCCGUUAAACCCCCAACUUCUGAAUGUUGACCUCGGAUCAGGUAGGAAUACCCGCUGAACUUAAGCAUAUCAUA